CUGACACUGAGGAGCGAAAGCGUGGGGAGCGAACAGGAUUAGAUACCCUGGUAGUCCACGCCGUAAACGGUGGGCGCUAGUUGUGCGAACCUUCCACGGUUUGUGCGACGCAGCUAACGCAUUAAGCGCCCCGCCUGGGGAGUACGAUCGCAAGAUUAAAACUCAAAGGAAUUGACGGGGCCCCGCACAAGCAGCGGAGCAUGCGGCUUAAUUCGACGCAACGCGAAGAACCUUACCAAGGCUUGACAUAUACAGGAAUACGGCAGAGAUGUCGUAGCCGCAAGGUCUGUAUACAGGUGGUGCAUGGUUGUCGUCAGCUCGUGUCGUGAGAUGUUGGGUUAAGUCCCGCAACGAGCGCAACCCUCGUUCUGUGUUGCCAGCAUUUAGUUGGGGACUCACAGGAGACUGCCGGGGUUAACUCGGAGGAAGGUGGGGAUGACGUCAAAUCAUCAUGCCCCUUAUGUCUUGGGCUGCACGCAUGCUACAAUGGCUGGUACAAACGGCUGCAAUACCGCAAGGUGGAGCGAAUCCGAGAAAGCCAGUCUCAGUUCGGAUUGGGGUCUGCAACUCGACCCCAUGAAGUCGGAGUUGCUAGUAAUCGUAGAUCAGCAACGCUACGGUGAAUACGUUCCCGGGGCUUGUACACACCGCCCGUCACAUCACGAAAGUCGGUAACACCCAAAAGUCAGUGGCCCAACCGCAAGGAGGGA
Molecule: ribosomal RNA, 710 nt
Filed under: uncultured Actinomycetes bacterium
Lineage: Bacteria; Bacillati; Actinomycetota; Actinomycetes
Description: bacterial SSU rRNA
Rfam family: Bacterial small subunit ribosomal RNA
Source: RNAcentral